CCCGUUCUCCAGUCCCGGCUGACAGAGUUAGCUGAGGCCGCCAUAUUGAAUAGGCGAUCCGGCUUUGGAGGGGGGGUCGUUGUGGUCUAGACAGUUCAUCAGGGGAGCCUCGGCGGCUCCGGCGAGAAGCAAUAUGUUAAGGAUACCUGUAAGAAGGGCCUUAAUAGGCCUUUCUAAGUCUCCCAAAGGAUGUGUUCGAACAGCUGCAACAGCAGCAAGCAACUUGAUUGAAGUGUUUGUUGAUGGUCAGUCUGUCAUGGUGGAACCAGGAACUACUGUCCUCCAGGCUUGUGAGAAAGUUGGCAUGCAGAUCCCCCGAUUCUGUUAUCAUGAAAGGUUGUCUGUUGCUGGAAACUGCAGGAUGUGCCUUGUUGAAAUUGAGAAAGCUCCUAAGGUUGUAGCUGCCUGUGCCAUGCCAGUAAUGAAGGGUUGGAAUAUCUUGACAAACUCAGAAAAAUCCAAGAAAGCCAGAGAAGGUGUGAUGGAGUUCUUAUUAGCAAAUCACCCACUGGACUGCCCUAUUUGUGACCAGGGAGGUGAAUGUGAUCUGCAAGACCAGUCCAUGAUGUUUGGAAGUGAUAGGAGUCGAUUUUUAGAAGGAAAACGUGCUGUGGAGGACAAGAACAUUGGGCCAUUGGUAAAGACCAUCAUGACUAGAUGUAUACAGUGCACUCGCUGCAUCAGGUUUGCAAGUGAGAUUGCAGGAGUAGAUGAUUUGGGAACUACAGGCAGAGGAAAUGAUAUGCAAGUUGGCACCUAUAUUGAAAAGAUGUUCAUGUCCGAACUGUCUGGGAAUAUCAUUGAUAUCUGCCCUGUAGGUGCCCUAACCUCUAAGCCUUACGCCUUUACUGCCCGGCCUUGGGAAACAAGAAAGACAGAAUCCAUUGAUGUAAUGGAUGCAGUAGGAAGUAAUAUCGUGGUUAGCACAAGAACUGGAGAAGUAAUGAGAAUCUUGCCACGUAUGCAUGAAGACAUCAAUGAAGAGUGGAUCUCUGAUAAAACCAGAUUUGCCUAUGAUGGGCUAAAACGUCAGAGACUUACAGAGCCGAUGGUCAGAAACGAAAAGGGGCUUUUAACCUAUACCUCCUGGGAGGAUGCACUCUCUCGUGUAGCUGGAAUGUUGCAGAGUUUUCAAGGCAAGGAUGUGGCAGCAAUUGCAGGUGGCCUGGUGGAUGCUGAAGCCCUAGUAGCUCUCAAAGAUUUGCUUAAUAGAGUGGACUCUGACACCUUAUGCACUGAAGAGGUCUUCCCCACUGCAGGAGCUGGCACAGAUUUACGUUCCAAUUAUCUUCUUAAUACUACAAUUGCUGGCAUGGAAGAGGCUGAUGUUGUCCUUCUGGUUGGUACGAAUCCACGUUUUGAGGCACCACUAUUUAAUGCUAGAAUUCGAAAGAGCUGGCUUCAUAAUGACUUAAAAGUGGCCCUUAUAGGUAGUCCAGUGGACCUCACUUACACAUAUGACCACCUGGGAGACUCCCCCAAAAUUCUACAAGACAUUGCUUCGGAUAGCCAUUCAUUUAGCCAGGUCCUAAAGGAAGCUAAAAAACCAAUGGUGGUUUUAGGCAGUUCUGCACUCCAAAGAAAUGAUGGAGCAGCAAUUCUUGCAGCUGUUUCCAGCAUUGCACAAAAGAUUCGGAUGACUAGUGGUGUUACUGAAGAUUGGAAAGUUAUGAAUAUCCUUCAUAGGAUUGCAAGUCAAGUAGCUGCUUUGGAUCUUGGCUAUAAACCUGGAGUGGAAGCAAUUCGCAAGAACCCUCCCAAAGUGCUGUUUCUCCUGGGAGCAGAUGGAGGUUGUAUCACACGACAGGAUUUGCCCAAGGAUUGUUUUAUUAUUUAUCAAGGACAUCAUGGUGAUGUUGGAGCACCCAUAGCUGAUGUUAUUCUCCCAGGAGCUGCUUAUACAGAGAAAUCUGCUACUUAUGUCAAUACGGAGGGCAGAGCUCAGCAGACUAAAGUAGCAGUAACACCUCCCGGCUUGGCAAGAGAAGACUGGAAAAUUAUAAGAGCCCUGUCUGAGAUUGUGGGUAUAACUCUUCCAUAUGAUACUCUGGAUCAAGUGAGAAACAGAUUGGAAGAAGUCUCUCCUAAUCUUGUUCGAUAUGAUGAUGUUGAAGGAGCUAAUUACUUCCAGCAAGCAAAUGAGCUCUCCAAGCUAGUGAACCAGCAACUUCUUGCUGACCCACUUGUUCCACCUCAGCUAACUAUAAAAGACUUCUACAUGACAGAUUCAAUUAGCAGAGCCUCACAGACAAUGGCCAAGUGUGUCAAAGCUGUCACAGAGGGUGCGCAUGCAGUAGAAGAGCCAUCCAUUUGCUGAAACAGCUACUAGGAACUGGGUUUUGCUACAAAUGGUUAACGGACAGUUAAAUUGGAGUGAUCUCUUACAGGUUUAGCUCUUCUUAAAAACAAAAUCUGAAUAAUGUAAUAUUUAAGGUUAUACUAUGCUUAUUUGAAAAUGAUAUUGCAGUUAUCAAAGAACUUUGCAGUUUCAAAAGCAUUUAUGUAUUGUGUGCAAACGUUGUUAAAUAGUCUAAUAAAACUGUAUGUAGAUGCUCUUUCAUGUAAAAGUAUUGAUAAUGUUUGUGACAAAUACAAAGAAAUCCUUAAAAUAUAAAUGUUUUGUUUAUCAUCAUAAAUUAUUUAUGUUUAUCAAAUGGAUGAAAUGAAAAACUUCCUUUAAGACCCACUUUUUUAUAGUGCUAAAGAAAAGAUUUAAGCACUAUCAGGGUGGGUAAAUAGAAAAAUAUAUAAUGUAAUCACACAUCAGAUAUGUAUCUUGGACAAUGAUAAUUAAUAGUAAUCAUAACAUUAGCUAAUGAUUAUUCAGCUUUUUUUUGUGCUAAGCACUCUGAUUUUCCAUGUAUUAUUUUCUUUUGUCCUGGCUAUAAUUCUAUGAGAUAGUAUUAUUAUCUAAUUUCACUGAUGAAAAAACUGAAGCCCGGGCAUAUUAAGUAGCUUGCCCAAGGCUGCACAGCACAAGUCAUAGAUGCAAGCCUAGUUCUUUUACUCCGAAGUCUAUUCUUAACUGCUACACAUAAUUCCUUUUAAUUAGUACAGAUUCUAUAGAUUGUUACUUCUAAGAAUUAGUAUUGAAGAGUUUAAUGGUUAACACAUUCUUCUGUUUUCUCUUGAAUUUGCUUCUAUAAUGUCAUGGUGAUUUAUGUGGCAUUUUUCUUUGUAUAACAGAUUAUGCACUUAAACACACUCUUGGAAUGAGGGAGGUCUCAAGAGAUAUAAUUAAGAUUCUCAUUGAUGUUCUGUAUUCAUUAUAUUAACACCAUCUGUAGUGUUAAAUCAAAUAAAUUAUUCCAGUAAUAGAAGACAAAACUACUAGCUUUAAUAAUUUUCAAAUGUCAAAACAAAAAGGAAGUAAAAAUUUUACAAUUAACCUAGGGGAUAAUUAAAGGUAGAUUAAGUUUUUGUUUAAAUCUAUGUUCAAAAUUUUUUUGUUUUGUAAGCCUUUUUUCUUUCUACUUUCACUAAAGAUUUAUCCUAACUAUAGGAUGCCAUUUUUAAUAUAAAAUAGGAUAAGAUUUUUAGAAUAGUAUUUCAUCAAUGCUUUAUCUUUAAAAAUUGUAUAAAAUUUGUCACCUGUAACAACUUUUUCAGAAGAGUUUAUUUUAUCCUCCUUAGUGAUACAUCAUGAAAUUAUGUACUUUGCUUAAAGUACUUGGCAUAAAAUUCCUAGUUGUACAAGAUUGUGUAAAUUCUUGCCCAAAGUGUUUGAAUUUAAUACAGACUUAUUCCUCUCUACUUUCUUCACCCCUUAGCACUGUGCUGACCUCAAGGGGACAUACUCCAAGUUUUGUAUUUUACACAGUACUCUUCAGUGAACAUGUGCAGACUUCAUAGGGUUCUUGGUGAAAGCUAAGUUGAUCCAGGAUCUUUGGGCUACCCUCUAGGCAGCAUGUGUUGAACAGCUUGUAAUUCUCUAAAGGAUACUUUGAGAACCAUCUUUGGUGACAGCAAAACUCAGGAAACAAUGUUAGUCAAUUAAUAGCUGCCAAGUUACCCAGAGGAGCAGAUGGUAUAACUGAUCAUGUCCUACAAGAUGAAGAAAGGGAAUACUCAAUGACAUUUGCUCAAAUAUGCUAAAGUUUCCACACAAAAGGCAAUAAUGGCAACCAUAUUUUUUUCCCUC
RNA transcript from Lemur catta (Ring-tailed lemur), 4141 nucleotides. It is a transcript of the gene named NADH:ubiquinone oxidoreductase core subunit S1, with no coding region annotated. The record is from RefSeq and is a predicted model, not a curated record. The transcript is spliced from 20 exons. NCBI's taxonomy places the organism in Eukaryota, Metazoa, Chordata, Mammalia, Primates, Lemuridae.